Molecule: ribosomal RNA, 879 nt
Filed under: Penicillium pulvillorum
Lineage: Eukaryota; Fungi; Ascomycota; Eurotiomycetes; Eurotiales; Aspergillaceae
Description: LSU rRNA
Rfam family: Eukaryotic large subunit ribosomal RNA
Source: RNAcentral
AAGCAUAUCAAUAAGCGGAGGAAAAGAAACCAACAGGGAUUGCCUCAGUAACGGCGAGUGAAGCGGCAAGAGCUCAAAUUUGAAAGCUGGCCCCCUCGGGGUCCGCAUUGUAAUUUGCAGAGGAUGCUUCGGGAGUGGCCCCAUCUAAGUGCCCUGGAACGGGCCGUCAUAGAGGGUGAGAAUCCCGUCUGGGAUGGGGUGCCCACGCCCGUGUGAAGCUCCUUCGACGAGUCGAGUUGUUUGGGAAUGCAGCUCUAAAUGGGUGGUAAAUUUCAUCUAAAGCUAAAUACUGGCCGGAGACCGAUAGCGCACAAGUAGAGUGAUCGAAAGAUGAAAAGCACUUUGAAAAGAGAGUUAAACAGCACGUGAAAUUGUUGAAAGGGAAGCGCUUGCGACCAGACUCGCCCACGGGGUUCAGCCGGCAUUCGUGCCGGUGUACUUCCCCGCGGGCGGGCCAGCGUCGGUUUGGGCGGCCGGUCAAAGGCCCUCGGAAUGUAACGCCCCCCGGGGCGUCUUAUAGCCGAGGGUGCCAUGCGGCCAGCCCGGACCGAGGAACGCGCUUCGGCUCGGACGCUGGCAUAAUGGUCGUAAGCGACCCGUCUUGAAACACGGACCAAGGAGUCUAACAUCUACGCGAGUGUUCGGGUGUCAAACCCGUGCGCGCAGUGAAAGCGAACGGAGGUGGGAACCCCUCGGGGCGCACCAUCGACCGAUCCUGAUGUCUUCGGAUGGAUUUGAGUAAGAGCGUAGCUGUUGGGACCCGAAAGAUGGUGAACUAUGCCUGAAUAGGGCGAAGCCAGAGGAAACUCUGGUGGAGGCUCGCAGCGGUUCUGACGUGCAAAUCGAUCGUCAAAUUUGGGUAUAGGGGCGAAAGACUAA